ACGUGGACCACGCGUACGCUGCGGUUCCCGCGCGCCGUCCGUACCCAGCUGACGACGGCGCGCUGCGUCUCACCAGUC
RNAcentral lists this small RNA (78 nucleotides) under Xanthomonas prunicola. RNAcentral's name for it is "sX9 sRNA". It matches the Rfam family "Xanthomonas sRNA sX9". Lineage: Bacteria; Pseudomonadati; Pseudomonadota; Gammaproteobacteria; Lysobacterales; Lysobacteraceae. The record is from RNAcentral.